AAACGAAAGAAGGCGUCGCUAUGGCAACGGGAGGGCUACUUGUAAACAAUACCUUGCGGUAUUCUGCGGUUCAAGUUCAACCCAUCGUGGAAAAUGUCAACCGAAGACGACGAGACGUCUUGGGUGUUCGAAUCUCUCGUCGGUUAUCUGAGGGGUCCGGCGUGGAAUAUUCCCAUCAUUACAUUCAUCGAGCAAAAGUCCAUUGUGUUUGAACCUGGGCCAGACAACGAAGAAUACAAGAAAAUUCACAAUGAAUACAAAAAUUUGGUGGACUUCAUGUUAGGCAGCCACAUGGAAGACAUGGGCAUCACGCCUGAACAAUUUGAGAAAGUCUGUGGCAAGGCCAACAGAGGAAUCGCUGCGAAAUUCCAUCAGGGUCUCUUCGAGCAGGUGUGGGCAGCAGACGAUUAUGAGAUCUUCAAGCGCAUGAUGACCCAGAAGAACAUCGACCUGCAACUCCAGGCCCUCGAAAUUAUGGCCCAACGCUAUGGCCUUGUGCCCGACGCCUUCCAGGGGGAGCCACAAGGGGCUGCCGAUGAGGACAUCCAGGAAGAAAAGUCAGACAAUGACAAUGCCAAGGAGGACGAGGAAGCUCUCAUGGCGCACGUCAUCAAAAAAUCGUUGGAAGACAUGGCUGCAGCAAAGGAGAGCGAGAGUAUGGAAGAAAAGCUUAUUGAAGAGGCGAUCCAAGCCACCCUGGUGGAGAAGCAGAGGCUGGAAGUUGAGAAAUCCAAAGAGAAGGAACUGCUAGACAAGGCACUAAAAUUAUCUCUCAAAGAACCCGCUGCAGCCGACACGCCAGAGGAUCCGGAACCCAAAGUGUUGGCGGGCCAAUUGACGGAACAUCGCCCCUCAAUCGUUGAGGAGGACUUGGCAACGCGACACCAGCCGGUGAGCAGCGAGGAGGUGAAUCAGCGGAGGGAGUACCUGCGCAGCCAGCGGGACAAGCUGGUGGCAUUGAAGCGUGCCGAACGCGAGAAGCAGCUGAGCUCCACGCUGGAACAGGACACCGUCCAGCGGCCGCGUUCGUCUCGCGCGGCCAGGGCGGCUCUCCAGGGCGACGUUGCCCUGGAGGCACCCAACGACGACUCCGGAAACCUGGCCUUCCGCAAGUCGCUUGCCGCUCGGCUGAAGGCGGAGGUCAUAGAUUCAUAAGCACCAGCUGCAGCCUAUUGCUUCCAGCAACAAAUCCAAGUUAACGAGAAAACUUUGAAUUCCUGUUGUGAAUGUUGUCAAAAGAAGUGCACCUGUACUGGAAUGCCACUCCAAGCCACGACAGAGCUCUCAAGGACUGCUCCUGCAUAAGCUACUAGACGCCGCUUUCCCGAACAAAUAAACAUCUUGCCAUCCAUCCUCGUGACUAAGAACGACACCAUCUUGUGGUGAAUCCAGAUGAAUUCCAGACUUCACACAUGACUGAACUGAGGGAUGCAUCAAAAGGGCAAGACUAUCUCACACUUGCAAAAUUUUUCUGAAUUUACGAUAAAUGACUUCAAGCACUGGAGCUUUCUAAACAAUUUAAAACAAAAGUAUGUUGAA
This 1539-nucleotide unclassified non-coding RNA is filed under the name Ixodes scapularis (black-legged tick). RNAcentral's name for it is "cilia- and flagella-associated protein 36, transcript variant X1". The record is from RNAcentral. Lineage: Eukaryota; Metazoa; Arthropoda; Arachnida; Ixodida; Ixodidae.